Molecule: long non-coding RNA, 1608 nt
Organism: Bacillus rossius redtenbacheri
Lineage: Eukaryota; Metazoa; Arthropoda; Insecta; Phasmatodea; Bacillidae
Exons: 2
Source: RefSeq, a predicted model, not a curated record
AUGCAAUAAUAAAGAUAUAUUGAUGUUAGGUUUCUUGCCUUGCCUGUUGCGAAUUAAAAUGUGUUGAGCUUUUGGCUGCACUGUUUGGGAUAAAUUUUGUUUUGUAUGCUUUUAUUUUGAGAGUAUAAUGUUAAGUUGCAAAUUCGUUAAGUUCUCUGUAUUGUAUGUUCGGUGUACUUGUUAACUAGAAGUUAUUUUUCAAGAGACACUAUUGCGUUAUUUGACUGAAUAAGACCACUGCUUUUUGGGUGUAUCCAUCAUGAGUAACGUGAACGAAAGUCUCGUCAGCGUGCUGGAGUGCCCCAUAUGCACUGAGUUCAUGGCCGCGCCAAUCACCCAAUGUAGUAAUGGCCAUAACAUCUGUGGUGAAUGCAAGAAGAAGAUCAACAGGUGUCCAUCCUGCCAAGGGUUCUUCAUUACACGCAAUCGUGCCCUUGAGCUAAUCGCAGAAACCACACAUUUCCCUUGCGAAAAUGUAGAGUUUGGUUGUGUUGACACCAUGCUCCUGAGCAAGAGAGACCAGCAUGUGCGAGCGUGUCCGUAUCGCCUGUACGAGUGCGUUGUCGGCAAAAAUAAAGGUUGCAAGUGGGCUGGCAGAAAGACCGAGAUUCUCGCUCACGUUCAAGAGAAGCACAACGAAGUCGCAUGGAUGAAGGGGGAGAAAAUUUCUGUGGUGGGCAGUUUGAAACUGCCGAAAGAGCUACGGGAUAGCCAACUGUUGCAAGCUCAUGGUGAAAUAUUUUGGUUUCACCAACACUACAGUUCUACUGAUGAAAUAGUUUACAGCGCAGUCCAGUACAUAGGACCAGCAGAGGUGGCCAAAAAAUUCACGUACAAAAUCACAUUUGGAUCAGUGUUGAAUUCUGAGAAGGCAUCCAUGACAUGCUUCACGCAUGCUGAUCUGGAAGACAAAGAAAAGAUUUUGAAGCCAGAUAAGUGUGCCUUUGUGGAAUUUUGGAAAUUAAAUAAAUUGGUAAAUGAUGGCAAAGUUAAGUUUGAAAUAAAAAUUAAAAAAGUUUCUGGCUAAAUUUUUAAUUGCUUGAUAUAUGCAAUCUUUUGGCUGUUGGCCAUUUUUGAAAUGUUUAUAUUUAAAAUGCUAGAUCAUGUCUUUCAUUUGUAAUCAUUUUUAAAAUUUUGAAAGAAUUAUGUGCCUUUAGACAAAAAUGUAUUAUAAGAAAUUGUUACAUGGUAGUCAAAACAAAUAAAGAAUGUUAGCUUUUCAGUGCCUUAAUUGUAAUAACAUAUUUGUUAAAUAUUCAUAAAAGAAUUCAGAUUGACUCUUGAUUUUGUAAUGAAACCCAAACUAUUUUUUAUUGUAUAGUUUGGCUAUAUAUUUGUUCAUAAGCAUUGUUUUCUAUGAUGGUAUUUUAAUCAGUUAAUUUGUAUAUGUUCUAGUAUAACAUUUUGAAUUUUUUAAAAAUAAUAUUUUGGUGUUACGUAUAUAAAGUCUGCAUGAACUAAAACAUCUCAUUUAAUAGUAUUUGAAAACAAAUCUAUAACUUUAGAUAAAUGUUUUAUACUGUCUGUAACCAUGCUCAUGACUAUUCUAAUACACAAUUUAUUGUGGUAACCAUCAUAACAUACAUAACAAUAAAGUAUUCAUCAAAA